Molecule: unclassified non-coding RNA, 334 nt
Filed under: soil metagenome
Description: partial contains 5.8S ribosomal RNA, internal transcribed spacer 2, and large subunit ribosomal RNA
Rfam family: 5.8S ribosomal RNA (bases 1-120)
Source: RNAcentral
GAUGAAGAAUGUAGCGAAAUGCGAUACGUGAUGUGAAUUGCAGAAUUCAGUGAAUCAUCGAAUCUUUGAACGCACAUUGCGCCCGCCAGCACUCUGGCGGGCAUGCCUGUUCGAGCGUCAUUUCAACCAUCAAGCCCCAGGCUUGCGUUGGAGCCCUGCGGCUGCCGCAGCCUCCUAAAAGCAGUGGCGGGCUCGCUAUCACACCGAGUGCAGUAGAUUACUCUUCGCUCAGGGCGUGCAGCGGGUUCCGGCCGUGAAACCCCCUACUUUUAAAGGUUGACCUCGGAUCAGGUAGGAAUACCCGCUGAACUUAAGCAUAUCAAUAAGCGGAGGA